CAACCACGACUUAUUAUCGGGGCUCAUUUCUAUAGCUUUCUGCUAGAGGAAUGUGUUUCUAAAGUGUUUGGUCUGGCUGACCGAGAUGAGUCCGUGUAUUCCUUUCUGAGUCGAGAAGCUGACAGAGAGUACUGAUUCACUUCACAGCUGCGCCUCUGUCAUUGAUGUUGUAGUCUUUGCUUCUUUAUGGAGUAUUGAGAAGGGAAGUAAUGAUCAGAGUUGU
Etheostoma spectabile (orangethroat darter) is the source of this 223-nucleotide small nucleolar RNA. RefSeq annotates it as small nucleolar RNA U3. The record is from RefSeq and is a predicted model, not a curated record. The transcript has a single exon. Lineage: Eukaryota; Metazoa; Chordata; Actinopteri; Perciformes; Percidae.